AUACGGAGGGGGCUAGCGUUGUUCGGAAUUACUGGGCGUAAAGGGCGCGUAGGCGGUCUAUCAAGUCAGGUGUGAAAUCCCACGGCUCAACCGUGGAGGUGCAUCUGAAACUGAUAGACUUGAGUAUGGGAGAGGAAAGUGGAAUUCCCGGUGUAGAGGUGAAAUUCGUAGAUAUCGGGAGGAACACCAGUGGCGAAGGCGACUUUCUGGACCAAUACUGACGCUGAGGCGCGAAAGCGUGGGGAGCAAACAGGAUUAGAAACCCCGGUAGUCC
RNAcentral lists this ribosomal RNA (274 nucleotides) under uncultured bacterium. Its description in RNAcentral is "partial 16S ribosomal RNA". It matches the Rfam family "Bacterial small subunit ribosomal RNA", at positions 523 to 796 of the family's 1533-position model. The record is from RNAcentral.